RNAcentral lists this ribosomal RNA (253 nucleotides) under uncultured prokaryote. Its description in RNAcentral is "partial 16S ribosomal RNA". It matches the Rfam family "Bacterial small subunit ribosomal RNA", at positions 524 to 776 of the family's 1533-position model. The record is from RNAcentral.
UACAGAGGGUGCUAGCGUUAAUCGGAUUUACUGGGCGUAAAGCGUGCGUAGGCGGUUUGAUAAGUCGGUUGUGAAAGCCCCGGGCUCAACCUGGGAAUUGCGGCCGAUACUGUCAGACUAGAAAACGGUAGAGGGAGGCGGAACUCCAGGUGUAGCGGUGAAAUGCGUAGAUAUCUGGAAGAACACCGAUGGCGAAGGCAACCUCCUGGGCCUGUUUUGACGCUGAGGCACGAAAGCGUGGGUAGCAAACAGG